AACGAACGUUAGAGAGAUGUUUUAAGCAUGCAAGUCGAACGAACCUUCGGGUUAGUGGCGGACGGGUGAGUAACGCGUGAGAAUCUGCCCUCAGGAGGGGGAUAACAGCUGGAAACGGCUGCUAAUACCCCAUAUGCCGCGAGGUGAAAUGAAUUUCGCCUGAGGAUGAGCUCGCGUCUGAUUAGCUAGUUGGUGAGGUAAAGGCUCACCAAGGCAUCGAUCAGUAGCUGGUCUGAGAGGAUGAUCAGCCACACUGGGACUGAGACACGGCCCAGACUCCUACGGGAGGCAGCAGUGGGGAAUUUUCCGCAAUGGGCGAAAGCCUGACGGAGCAACGCCGCGUGAGGGAUGAAGGCCUCUGGGCUGUAAACCUCUUUUAUCAAGGAAGAAGAUCUGACGGUACUUGAUGAAUAAGCCACGGCUAAUUCCGUGCCAGCCGCCG
Molecule: ribosomal RNA, 442 nt
Filed under: uncultured bacterium
Lineage: Bacteria
Description: bacterial SSU rRNA
Rfam family: Bacterial small subunit ribosomal RNA
Source: RNAcentral